RNAcentral lists this ribosomal RNA (501 nucleotides) under uncultured bacterium. RNAcentral's name for it is "partial 16S ribosomal RNA". It matches the Rfam family "Bacterial small subunit ribosomal RNA", at positions 30 to 523 of the family's 1533-position model. The record is from RNAcentral.
AUUGAACGCUGGCGGCAUGCCUUACACACGCAAGUCGAACGGCAGCACGGGUGCUUGCACCUGGUGGCGAGUGGCGAACGGGUGAGUAAUAUAUCGGAACGUACCUUAUUGUGGGGGAUAACGCAGCGAAAGCUGUGCUAAUACCGCAUAAUCCCUAAGGGGGAAAGCGGGGGACAGUAAGGCCUCGCGCAAUUAGAGCGGCCGAUACCUGAUUAGCUAGUUGGUGAGGUAAAGGCUCACCAAGGCAACGAUCAGUAGCUGGUCUGAGAGGACGAUCAGCCACACUGGGACUGAGACACGGCCCAGACUCCUACGGGAGGCAGCAGUGGGGAAUUUUGGACAAUGGGGGCAACCCUGAUCCAGCAAUGCCGCGUGAGUGAAGAAGGCCUUCGGGUUGUAAAGCUCUUUCGUCAGGGAAGAAACAGCAGCUCUAACACAGUUUGCGAAUGACGGUACCUGAAGAAUAAGCACCGGCUAACUACGUGCCAGCCGCCGCCGUAA